This 497-nucleotide ribosomal RNA is filed under the name uncultured bacterium. RNAcentral describes it as "partial 16S ribosomal RNA". It matches the Rfam family "Bacterial small subunit ribosomal RNA", at positions 28 to 507 of the family's 1533-position model. The record is from RNAcentral.
GAUGAACGCUGGCGGCGUGCCUAAUACAUGCAAGUCGAGCGAACAGACGAGGAGCUUGCUCCUCUGACGUUAGCGGCGGACGGGUGAGUAACACGUGGAUAACCUACCUAUAAGACUGGGAUAACUUCGGGAAACCGGAGCUAAUACCGGAUAAUAUAUUGAACCGCAUGGUUCAAUAGUGAAAGACGGUUUUGCUGUCACUUAUAGAUGGAUCCGCGCCGCAUUAGCUAGUUGGUAAGGUAACGGCUUACCAAGGCAACGAUGCGUAGCCGACCUGAGAGGGUGAUCGACCACCCAGGAACGGAGACACCGUCGAGACUCCUACGGGGGGCAGAAGUAGGGAAGCGUCAGAAAGGGGGGAAGGCCUGCCGGAGCAACGCCGCGGGAGUGAUGAAGGUCUUCGGAUCGUAAAACUCUUUUAUUAGGAAAGAACAUAUGUGUACGUAACUGUGCGCAUCUUGACGGUACCUAAUCAGAAAGCCACGGCUAACUACGUG